This 302-nucleotide long non-coding RNA is filed under the name Capsella rubella. Its description in RNAcentral is "long non-coding RNA (CRUB_LNC004621)". Lineage: Eukaryota; Viridiplantae; Streptophyta; Magnoliopsida; Brassicales; Brassicaceae. The record is from RNAcentral.
UUGAAUCUAGUGAAACAUGUAAGUAAAAACUUCUUCCUUUCUUCACAUAACUUGGGACUGGAAAAAAGAAAACAGAGGAACAAAACAGAACAUACACUAUUGUUUUUUUCUUCAUCUUGUAGAUUUGGGAUCUAUGGGAAAAAGGUGAAGCUUCAGGGAUCAUAGACAAGUUAAUGGGUGAAGAUUCUUAUGAUGAGAGCGAAGUAAUGAAGUGCUUACACAUUGGGUUGCUUUGCGUGCAAGAAAACGCUUCGGACAGACCAGACAUGUCAUCUGUUGUCUUCAUGUUAGGUCACAACGCC